AGCUGCGGCAGCGACACUAUGUGUUGUUGGGUAGGGGAGCGUUCUGUAAGCCUGUGAAGGUGUGCUGUGAGGCAUGCUGGAGGUAUCAGAAGUGCGAAUGCUGACAUAAGUAACGAUAAAGCGGGUGAAAAGCCCGCUCGCCGGAAGACCAAGGGUUCCUGUCCAACGUUAAUCGGGGCAGGGUGAGUCGACCCCUAAGGCGAGGCCGAAAGGCGUAGUCGAUGGGAAACAGGUUAAUAUUCCUGUACUUGGUGUUACUGCGAAGGGGGGACGGAGAAGGCUAUGUUGGCCGGGCGACGGUUGUCCCGGUUUAAGCGUGUAGGCUGGUUUUCCAGGCAAAUCCGGAAAAUCAAGGCUGAGGCGUGAUGACGAGGCACUACGGUGCUGAAGCAACAAAUGCCCUGCUUCCAGGAAAAGCCUCUAAGCAUCAGGUAACAUCAAAUCGUACCCCAAACCGACACAGGUGGUCAGGUAGAGAAUACCAAGGCGCUUGAGAGAACUCGGGUGAAGGAACUAGGCAAAAUGGUGCCGUAACUUCGGGAGAAGGCACGCUGAUAUGUAGGUGAAGUCCCUCGCGGAUGGAGCUGAAAUCAGUCGAAGAUACCAGCUGGCUGCAACUGUUUAUUAAAAACACAGCACUGUGCAAACACGAAAGUGGACGUAUACGGUGUGACGCCUGCCCGGUGCCGGAAGGUUAAUUGAUGGGGUCAGCGCAAGCGAAGCUCUUGAUCGAAGCCCCGGUAAACGGCGGCCGUAACUAUAACGGUCCUAAGGUAGCGAAAUUCCUUGUCGGGUAAGUUCCGACCUGCACGAAUGGCGUAAUGAUGGCCAGGCUGUCUCCACCCGAGACUCAGUGAAAUUGAACUCGCUGUGAAGAUGCAGUGUACCCGCGGCAAGACGGAAAGACCCCGUGAACCUUUACUAUAGCUUGACACUGAACAUUGAGCCUUGAUGUGUAGGAUAGGUGGGAGGCUUUGAAGUGUGGACGCCAGUCUGCAUGGAGCCGACCUUGAAAUACCACCCUUUAAUGUUUGAUGUUCUAACGUUGACCCGU
Molecule: ribosomal RNA, 1054 nt
Filed under: Escherichia coli
Lineage: Bacteria; Pseudomonadati; Pseudomonadota; Gammaproteobacteria; Enterobacterales; Enterobacteriaceae
Description: partial 23S ribosomal RNA
Rfam family: Bacterial large subunit ribosomal RNA
Source: RNAcentral